CACGUGAGCAACCUGCCCUGGACUCUGGGAUAAGCGCUGGAAACGGCGUCUAAUACUGGAUAUGAGACGUGAUCGCAUGGUCGUGUUUGGAAAGAUUUUUCGGUCUGGGAUGGGCUCGCGGCCUAUCAGCUUGUUGGUGAGGUAAUGGCUCACCAAGGCGUCGACGGGUAGCCGGCCUGAGAGGGUGACCGGCCACACUGGGACUGAGACACGGCCCAGACUCCUACGGGAGGCAGCAGUGGGGAAUAUUGCACAAUGGGCGGAAGCCUGAUGCAGCAACGCCGCGUGAGGGAUGACGGCCUUCGGGUUGUAAACCUCUUUUAGCAGGGAAGAAGCGAAAGUGACGGUACCUGCAGAAAAAGCGCCGGCUAACUACGUGCCAGCAGCCGCGGUAAUACGUAGGGCGCAAGCGUUAUCCGGAAUUAUUGGGCGUAAAGAGCUCGUAGGCGGUUUGUCGCGUCUGCUGUGAAAUCCCGAGGCUCAACCUCGGGCCUGCAGUGGGUACGGGCAGACUAGAGUGCGGUAGGGGAGAUUGGAAUUCCUGGUGUAGCGGUGGAAUGCGCAGAUAUCAGGAGGAACACCGAUGGCGAAGGCAGAUCUCUGGGCCGUAACUGACGCUGAGGAGCGAAAGGGUGGGGAGCAAACAGGCUUAGAUACCCUGGUAGUCCACCCCGUAAACGUUGGGAACUAGUUGUGGGGACCAUUCCACGGUUUCCGUGACGCAGCUAACGCAUUAAGUUCCCCGCCUGGGGAGUACGGCCGCAAGGCUAAAACUCAAAGGAAUUGACGGGGACCCGCACAAGCGGCGGAGCAUGCGGAUUAAUUCGAUGCAACGCGAAGAACCUUACCAAGGCUUGACAUAUACGAGAACGGGCCAGAAAUGGUCAACUCUUUGGACACUCGUAAACAGGUGGUGCAUGGUUGUCGUCAGCUCGUGUCGUGAGAUGUUGGGUUAAGUCCCGCAACGAGCGCAACCCUCGUUCUAUGUUGCCAGCACGUAAUGGUGGGAACUCAUGGGAUACUGCCGGGGUCAACUCGGAGGAAGGUGGGGAUGACGUCAAAUCAUCAUGCCCCUUAUGUCUUGGGCUUCACGCAUGCUACAAUGGCCGGUACAAAGGGCUGCAAUACCGUAAGGUGGAGCGAAUCCCAAAAAGCCGGUCCCAGUUCGGAUUGAGGUCUGCAACUCGACCUCAUGAAGUCGGAGUCGCUAGUAAUCGCAGAUCAGCAACGCUGCGGUGAAUACGUUCCCGGGUCUUGUACA
Molecule: ribosomal RNA, 1261 nt
Filed under: Microbacterium testaceum
Lineage: Bacteria; Bacillati; Actinomycetota; Actinomycetes; Micrococcales; Microbacteriaceae
Description: bacterial SSU rRNA
Rfam family: Bacterial small subunit ribosomal RNA
Source: RNAcentral